RNAcentral lists this ribosomal RNA (586 nucleotides) under Glomeromycotina sp. Its description in RNAcentral is "eukaryotic LSU rRNA". It matches the Rfam family "Eukaryotic large subunit ribosomal RNA", at positions 110 to 629 of the family's 3401-position model. Lineage: Eukaryota; Fungi; Glomeromycota. The record is from RNAcentral.
CAAAUUUUAAAUCACCUAGGUUACCUGGGCGAGUUGUAAUUUGAAGAAAGUGCUUUGAUGCUCUGGUUUUGUCUAAAUCCUUUGGGAUAAGGUAUCAUAGAGGGUGAGAAUCCCGUUCAUGAUUUAAACCCUGGGUGUCACCUAAUUCACUUUCUAAGAGUCGAGUUGUUUGGGAUUGCAGCUCAAAAUGGGUGGUAAAUUUCACCUAAGGCUAAAUAUGUGCAAGAGACCGAUAGCGAACAAGUACCGUGAGGGAAAGAUGAAAAGAACUUUGAAAAGAGAGUUAAAUAGUACGUGAAAUUGUUGAAAGGGAAACGAUUGAAGUCAGUCAUGCUUGCAGGGAAUCAGCAUGGUGGUUUAUUCUUCCUUGUGCACUUUCUUGCUUGGCAGGUUAGCAUCAAUUUCGAUUGUCAUUAAAGAAUUGGGGGAAUGUGGCUUCUUCGGGAGUGUUAUAGACCCUGGUAGAUGUGGCGAUCGGGAUUGAGGAUUGCAGCGAAUGCUUUUUGGCUAGUCACCUGGUUUCUGAUAGUCGCCUUGCUUCCGAUAGCUUGCUAAUGGUGGUGAGACUCGAUUGUCUAGAAGUUAG